UGGGCUGUGGCUCACUGGCAGAGCGCUUGCCUCCCAUGUGUGAGGCACUGGGUUCGAUCCUCAGCACCACAU
Molecule: non-coding RNA, 72 nt
Organism: Ictidomys tridecemlineatus (thirteen-lined ground squirrel)
Lineage: Eukaryota; Metazoa; Chordata; Mammalia; Rodentia; Sciuridae
Source: Rfam